UGAGCUUGNUUUCGAUACGGGCUGACUUGAGGGAGGUAGGGGAGAAUGGAAUUCCUGGUGGAGCGGUGGAAUGCGCAGAUAUCAGGAGGAACACCGGUGGCGAAGGCGGUUNUCUGGACCUUUCCUGACGCUGAGAAGCGAAAGCGUGGGGAGCGAACAGGCUUAGAUACCCUGGUAGUCCACGCUGUAAACGGUGGGUACUAGGUGUGGGGGACAUUCCACGUUCUCCGUGCCGUAGCUAACGCAUUAAGUACCCCGCCUGGGGAGUACGGCCGCAAGGCUAAAACUCAAAGGAAUUGACGGGGCCCCGCACAAGCGGCGGAGCAUGCGGAUUAAUUCGAUGCAACGCGAAGAACCUUACCUGGGUUUGACAUAUGCCGGAAGCGUUCAGAGAUGGGCGUGCCUUUUUGGUCGGUUUACAGGUGGUGCAUGGCUGUCGCCAGCUCGUGUCGUGAGAUGUUGGGUUAAGUCCCGCAACGAGCGCAACCCUCGUCCAAUGUUGCCAGCGGGUUAUGCCGGGGACUCAUUGGAGACCGCCGGGGUCAACUCGGAGGAAGGUGGGGAUGACGUCAAGUCAUCAUGCCCCUUAUGUCCAGGGCUUCACGCAUGCUACAAUGGCCGGUACAGUGAGCUGCGAGCCUGUGAGGGUGAGCGAAUCUCUAAAAGCCGGUCUCAGUUCGGAUUGGGGUCUGCAACUCGACCCCAUGAAGUCGGAGUCGCUAGUAAUCGCAGAUCAGCAACGCUGCGGUGAAUACGUUCCCGGGGCUUGUACACACCGCCCGUCAAGUCAUGAAAGUCGGUAACACCCGAAGCCGGUGGCCUAACC
This 826-nucleotide ribosomal RNA is filed under the name uncultured bacterium. Its description in RNAcentral is "bacterial SSU rRNA". It matches the Rfam family "Bacterial small subunit ribosomal RNA", at positions 616 to 1440 of the family's 1533-position model. The record is from RNAcentral.